This 254-nucleotide ribosomal RNA is filed under the name uncultured bacterium. Its description in RNAcentral is "partial 16S ribosomal RNA". It matches the Rfam family "Bacterial small subunit ribosomal RNA", at positions 524 to 776 of the family's 1533-position model. The record is from RNAcentral.
GACGUAGGGCGCAAGCGUUGUCCGGAUUUAUUGGGCGUAAAGAGCUCGUAGGCGGCUUGUCGCGUCGACUGUGAAAACCCACGGCUUAACCGUGGGACUGCAGUCGAUACGGGCUAGCUAGAGUUCGGUAGGGGAGACUGGAAUUCCUGGUGUAGCGGUGAAAUGCGCAGAUAUCAGGAGGAACGACCGGUGGCGAAGGCGGGUCUCUGGGCCGAUACUGACGCUGAGGAGCGAAAGCGUGGGGAGCGAACAGG